This is a long non-coding RNA of Cyprinus carpio carpio, 1048 nucleotides long. NCBI's taxonomy places the organism in Eukaryota, Metazoa, Chordata, Actinopteri, Cypriniformes, Cyprinidae. The record is from Ensembl.
AACAUUUAAUACUGAAUGCUACUGUACAGGUGAUGCAGGAAUUCGACUGAUGUCUGAUGGGUUUACAGUCAUUUCUGUGGAUUUAUCUCGGAGGAGUCGAGGACUAACGCAGGACUGAUGAGGAGCUUGUUGAACAGCAGCUGGAAAUGACAGAUAUUCACCUGCCUCAGUGUGAGCGUGUCAUAUUGAUUCCCGAGCUGAUGAAUUCUGUGUCUGACCUCUGCCAGCGCAUGAUGCUCUUAUCGGUCCAUCGCUCCUGUGCCAGUCCAGAUGGAGAAACAAUGCGCUCGGCUCUGGUCUUAUCGCGCUCCGGCCGUCAGCGGACAGCAUCCGGUAUCUGGAGCUGAUGAACGGCUCUGGCCUCGUGUCGAGUAGAUAAACCCACAGCUUGGCUUCGGCUCCUGAAGAGCUCCUGCGCCAGAAUGGAUUAGGUAUCGAUCUUAACAAUCCUGAGAUUGAGUUAUUUAUUUUUUUUCAAUGUCAUGACAUCAGGAUGAUGGAAGCGACCACACUUGCAGGAGAUUGUGAUUCCCAGCGGAGCGCCUCUUUAAAAAUUCAAGAAAAGUGCUAGUGAGAGUUCAGGUUUAAUCACAGCGGAGAACAGAAAGGAAUGCACUCUAAAAAAUAAAGCUUUCAUAAAAGCCUUUUUGCAGCGAUGCUUUAGAAGAACCAUUUUUUGGUUCCCCAAUGACCAAUUCUUACUGUUUACACACAUUUUCAAAACUUUGCCUCUUUUUUAAAAAACUAAAGAACUUUACACACAAAUCCAAGAAUUGCACACACAGAUUGCAAAAAGCCUCACAUCUCUUGCAAAAUGAAGCACUGCAUUCAAAAUAUCACAAACACAUCUCGAAAGCAAACAUUAGUCUUCCAAUGCAAAAACAUUUGCCAUAAUAUUAUAUAAUUUUUGGAUAUAUCAUAUACGCACAGUUAUUCAAAACCUAAAGCUCUUAUUUCAUGAGCUCCUGUGUAUAUUUCUGUACAAGACUGAAAGUAAUUGGCAGAGCGAUUAAAAAAAAAAACGCUAAACAUGAAAGCAGAUUGAAAC